CAGGGGACGUUGGCCCGUCCCUAAAAAAUUCAUCGGAGUCACCUGAAAAACCUCUAGAGGCCUUGCAGGCUCUGCAGUAUACCCAGAGAGCCACCCGUAAGCUUGUGCGAGACGCCCUGCCAGUGCCCACCUUGGACCCUGUACAUCCUUUCCAGCCUUGGGACUCAGUGUGGGUAAAGAAGUUCAUGACCCAAGGACUCACCGCAACUUGGAAAGGAUUAUACACUGUCGCCCUGCUGACAGCAUCCAGAACUGGCUACACCAUUCCCAGCUCCUGCACCAGGAAACGGCCUUGAUCCCGGCAGCCAGCGGCCCCACCCGUGAGAUCCCUAGUCUGGGCUCCACGCAAUCCAGGAGGAGGCUCGAUGUCUGCAAGAGUGGAACUGGACUUCAGUGAGGACAGUACUGAUGGGGACCAUGGCACUAGGGCACUUGGUAACUGUAAGAACAUUUUUUUUUUCUAGCCAGUGAGAAAGUCCAGGGCCAAGUGGGGCUAGAUGUGAUAGGGGACAGGAGAGCAGGAACCGAAUAGAGAAUGCCCCUAAAAGAAGUGGGGUGAGUAAAUGAAAAUUAAAUGUGCCAAGCUGGCAGUUUA
Molecule: long non-coding RNA, 595 nt
Organism: Myotis davidii
Lineage: Eukaryota; Metazoa; Chordata; Mammalia; Chiroptera; Vespertilionidae
Exons: 2
Source: RefSeq, a predicted model, not a curated record